RNAcentral lists this long non-coding RNA (1045 nucleotides) under Anas platyrhynchos platyrhynchos (common mallard). RNAcentral describes it as "lncRNA (ENSAPLG00000018710.1)". The record is from RNAcentral. Lineage: Eukaryota; Metazoa; Chordata; Aves; Anseriformes; Anatidae.
UCCAGGGGGGAGGGAGGCAUCGCGGGCUCCCUGCGGUGCUGUUGUUCGUGUGGGCUUCGUGCCGGGGCGUCCCCGUGGGCAUUAAGCUGGGAACGUCCUCCCCAGCCCCGAAAAGGUCAGGGCUGGAGCUGCGUCCAGCUGGAGUGCCCAGGAAUGAGGUGUUCCCUGACCAGCAGCGCUCGCUGUUGGUAAACGGCUCCUUUCCGAGAGAUUCAUCGGUCGCAGCGAGACGUGGAAACUCUGACUGCUCCCUGCGCUCAGCGUUUAACUUUGGAAAUGUUUGGUCGCGCUUGUGCUGGAGUGCCUGACGCGAGGAUCUAAAAGAGAAGAAGGAAGUUGUUGAAGAAACAGAAAAUGGCAGAGAUGCACCGGCCAACGGCAAUGCUAACGAGGAAAACGGGGAGCAGGAGGCCGACAACGAAGUAGACGAAGAGGAAGAGGAAGGUGGCGAGGAAGAGGACGAGGAGGAAGAGGGUGAUGGUGAGGAGGAGGACGGCGACGAAGACGACGAAGCUGAGGGAGCCACAGGCAAACGGGCAGCUGAGGACGACGAGGUAGGCAGAGCACCCCUUGUGUCCCGAGUGGGUUUUGGGGUGGAAUCAGUGGGGUCGGAGGCACCAGGCUGGGCUUUGGGACCCGGAUCCUGCCCGUGUGGUUCCCGCUGUGUGUGCCCCUGGGGGAUUCGGCCCAGUUCUUCAUGUACUGGCCUGGCUGUGAUCACCCUGGGUUUGGGAUCCCAGUGCUGUGGUGGGAUGGGACAGGGGUGCUCCGGCCCCAAAACCAGCUGCCAGAGGCUUCAUGCUGUGGGGAACACUUCUGCUGCAGGGACAAAGCAGAACAAGAGCAGAGGGACCCAAAAUCUCCUUUAUUUCUGCCCCUUUAUUCUGUUGUCCCCUCCCCUAACGGCUUUACCUUUCCCCUCAGGACGACGACGUCGAUCCCAAGAAGCAGAAAACCGACGAAGAUGACUAGGCAGCAAAUUAUUAUUAUUUUUUUUUUUAAAUAAGGAGGAAAACAAACCAACAAAAAAGGCCAGCGCGUCCUC